RNAcentral lists this ribosomal RNA (447 nucleotides) under uncultured bacterium. Its description in RNAcentral is "SSU rRNA". It matches the Rfam family "Bacterial small subunit ribosomal RNA", at positions 26 to 518 of the family's 1533-position model. The record is from RNAcentral.
AGAGCGAACGCUGGCGGCAGGCCUAACACAUGCAAGUCGAGCGGCCGUAGCAAUACGGCAGCGGCAGACGGGAGAGUAAUACGUGGGAACGCGCCCUUCGGUUCGGAAUAACUCAGGGAAACUUGGGCUAAUACCGGAUACGCCCUUACGGGGAAAGAUUUAUUGCCGAAGGAACGGCCCGCGUCCGAUUAGCUUGUUGGUGAGGUAACGGCUCACCAAGGCGACGAUCGGUAGCUGGUCUGAGAGGAUGACCAGCCUCACUGGGACUGAGACACGGCCCAGACUCCUACGGGAGGCAGCAGUGGGGAAUAUUGGACAAUGGGCGCAAGCCUGAUCCAGCCAUGCCGCGUGGGUGAUGAAGGCCCUAGGGUUGUAAAGCCCUUUCGGCGGGAAGAUAAUGACGGUACCCGCAGAAGAAGCCCCGGCUAACUUCGUGCCAGCAGCCGC